This 497-nucleotide ribosomal RNA is filed under the name uncultured bacterium. RNAcentral describes it as "partial 16S ribosomal RNA". It matches the Rfam family "Bacterial small subunit ribosomal RNA", at positions 28 to 507 of the family's 1533-position model. The record is from RNAcentral.
GAUGAACGCUGGCGGCGUGCCUAAUACAUGCAAGUCGAGCGAACAGACGAGGAGCUUGCUCCUCUGACGUUAGCGGCGGGCGGGUGAGUAACACGUGGAUAACCUACCUAUAAGACUGGGAUAACUUCGGGAAACCGGAGCUAAUACCGGAUAAUAUAUUGAACCGCAUGGUUCAAUAGUGAAAGACGGUUUUGCUGUCACUUAUAGAUGGAUCCGCGCCGCACUAGCUAGUUGGUAAGGUAACGGCUUACCAAGGCAACGAUGCGUAGCCGACCUGAGAGGGUGAUCGGCCACACUGGAACUGAGACACGGUCCAGACUCCUACGGGAGGCAGCAGUAAGGAAUCUUCCGCAAUGGGCGAAAGCUUGACGGAGCAACGCCGCGUGAGUGAUGAAGGUCUUCGGAUCGUAAAACUCUGUUAUUAGGGAAGAACAAAUGUGUAAGUAACUAUGCACGUCUUGACGGUACCUAAUCAGAAAGCCACGGCUAACUACGUG